RNAcentral lists this ribosomal RNA (255 nucleotides) under uncultured bacterium. Its description in RNAcentral is "partial 16S ribosomal RNA". It matches the Rfam family "Bacterial small subunit ribosomal RNA", at positions 524 to 777 of the family's 1533-position model. The record is from RNAcentral.
UACGGAGGGUGCAAGCGUUAUCCGGAUUCACUGGGUUUAAAGGGUGCGUAGGAGGGCAGGUAAGUCAGUGGUGAAAUCUCCAAGCUUAACUUGGAAACUGCCGUUGAUACUAUCUGUCUUGAAUAUUGUGGAGGUGAGCGGAAUAUGUCAUGUAGCGGUGAAAUGACUUAGAUAUGACAUAGAACACCAAUUGCGAAGGCAGCUCACUACUCAAUCAUUGACUCUGAGGCACGAAAGCGUGGGGAUCAAACAGGA